Small nucleolar RNA from Eutrema salsugineum, 87 nucleotides. It matches the Rfam family "Small nucleolar RNA R11/Z151". Rfam says of the family: snoR11/Z151 is a member of the C/D class of snoRNA which contain the C (UGAUGA) and D (CUGA) box motifs. Most of the members of the box C/D family function in directing site-specific 2'-O-methylation of substrate RNAs. Lineage: Eukaryota; Viridiplantae; Streptophyta; Magnoliopsida; Brassicales; Brassicaceae. The record is from Rfam.
UGGCCUAUGAGGAUAAAAAUUAUCUUAGCGGAUUUCAGUGAGAUUUUUUUGAAUCAAUGAUCUGAAUUGUUACACACACUGAGGCUC